CAGAGUCGCAAAACUCCCGCAAACCAUCGCGAAUCUUACCCGUACGGUUGCCUCGGCGCUGGCGGUCCGGAAGGCCCUCGGGCCCCCGGAUCCUCGGGUCUCCCGCUCGCGGGAGGCUGCCCGCCGGAGUGCCGAAACUAAACUCUUGAUAUCUUAUGUCUCUCUGAGUACACUUUUAAAUAAGUCA
RNAcentral lists this unclassified non-coding RNA (187 nucleotides) under soil metagenome. RNAcentral's name for it is "partial internal transcribed spacer 1". The record is from RNAcentral.